CCUACGGGAGGCAGCAGUGGGGAAUAUUGCGCAAUGGGCGAAAGCCUGACGCAGCGACGCCGCGUGAGGGAUGAAGGUCUUCGGAUUGUAAACCUCUGUCAGCAGGGAAGAACGGUCACUUUGCUAAUCAGCAGUGAAUUGACGGUACCUGCAACGGAAGCACCGGCUAACUCCGUGCCAGCAGCCGCGGUAAUACGGAGGGUGCGAGCGUUAAUCGGAAUUACUGGGCGUAAAGCGCUCGUAGGCGGUAUGUCAAGUCAAGGGUGAAAUCCCCGCGCUCAACGUGGGAACUGCAUUUGAAACGGGCAAACUGGAGUGUGUGAGAGGAUGGUGGAAUUCCAGGUGUAGGAGUGAAAUGCGUAGAUAUCUGGAGGAACAUCAGUGGCGAAGGCGACUAUCUGGCACAUAACUGACGCUGAGGAGCGAAAGCGUGGGUAGCAAACAGGAUUAGAUACCCUGGUAGUC
Molecule: ribosomal RNA, 465 nt
Filed under: uncultured bacterium
Lineage: Bacteria
Description: partial 16S ribosomal RNA
Rfam family: Bacterial small subunit ribosomal RNA
Source: RNAcentral